CGCAUCCUCAUUGUGGGAAAGUCUCGGGGGGUAUGAUGGCAGAGGAAAUGCAGGAGCUGAGAGAGUUAGUCACUCAGCUUAGGAUGGAGAAUAAGAGGUCGAAGCAGGAACAGGCUGAGGCAGUACCUGGCCCGAGUGUAGAACCCUCAUCUCAAUUGUCCUCGAGUGGUAAUGCUCCAGUAAUGGAGAAGUUUAUUUUUUUACCCCGAGAUAGAAAAUGUCCCAUGUUUAAUGGUAAGACAGGUAUGGGGUUGGCUGAAUGGUUGGAGGAGAUGCAAGCUUGUGUGAGAGCCUGUCAUGUCUCUGAAGCUGACCAGGCAUUUUUUUAUUUUGAUCAUCUGGAGGGGGAAGCACGUAAGGAAAUAAAGCAUCGUUCCAGUGAAGAGCGCUCAGACCCAUUAAAGAUCAAUGGGGUGUUGCAGGAGCUGUAUGGGGAUGCAGAAUCUUAUGUGGCGCUUCAAGAGGCCUUUUUCUCCCGCAGACAGCGUGAGGGAGAGACUCUGUUAGGGUUUUCAUUGGCAUUAAUGAAUCUGAUGACAAAUGUUAAGCAGCGCACACCUAUGGUGUCCCAAAUGCAGAGGUUUUGUUAUGUGGUCAGUUUGUUGAGGGUGUGUUUGAUGGGUCACUUUGGCGUGAGUUGAAGCAGUUUGUGACUGUAAAAUGACACAGACGACGUAGCUCUACAUAUGUUUCAAAUAGAUCUAAUGGAAAACAUUCAAACAUAGAAUUUAUUUAGGCUGCAGACCGAUAUACGGAGCCUGCCUGGGGACAUGACGGUAAUUUUUUUUUUUUUGGCCCAGAUUCUUGCGUUCCCGCGAAAUAUAGCGCCUCGUAAUAGUUUUUGUGUUCCCUCGCAAUAUCCUUAUAUUACAGCUCAUGUCUAUCAGAGCCCACAGAGAGUGAAAUCAGGUGCGGGGUGAGACGGAACGCAAUGCGCGCGCAGACAUCAACAAGAUUCACAAGAGGAUGGUAAAAAAAAAAAAGCAUAAAUGUUCAUAAGGCACUAACAGGUGUUGCUGUAAGUUUCUUGCAUACAUCUAUUUUUUUAAUAUCAUGAAACUGCCAAAUUAAUGUGGUUAAUGGUGCCGUUUUCGUGAUCGGCUUAUGACUGUAAUGUCGCGCCACUGACUGUAAAAUGACAGACUACAUAGCUCUGCAUAUGUUUAAAAUAGAUCUAAUGGAAAACAUUCAAACAUAAAAUUUAUUUAAGCUGCAGACCGAUAUAUGGAGCCUGCCUGGGGACAUGACGGUAAUUUUUUGGGGGGGCCCAGAUUAUUUAUUGUGUUUGCGCGCAAUAUAGCGUUCCCCCGCAAUAUUAUUGCGUUCCCUCGCAAUAGUUUUUGUGUUCCCUCGCAAUAACCUUAUCAUAUUACAGCUCAUGUCUAUCAGAGCCCACAGAGAGUGAAAUCAGGUGCGGCGUGAGACGGAACGCAGUGCGCGCGCAGACAACAGGAUUCACGAGAGGACGGUAAAAAAAUGAAAGCAUAAACGUUCAUAAGGCACUAACAGGUGUUGCUACUUACUACCACUGUUGUAUAAAUAAACUAUAUUUCAUACGGAGCCUUAGAGCUGUGCAAGUUGUAGCAACUUACACAGCUCAUCUCUCGUGAAUCCUGUCGCUGUCUGCUGCAUGUGUGUGCACGCAUAUGCGUUCAGUCCCCCACCACCUGAUCCCACUCACUGUGUGCUCUGAUAGGCAUAUGAUAUUGGGUUAUUGCGAGGGAACGCAAGAAUCUGGUCCCAAAAAAAUAAAAAUAAAUAACCAUGUCCACAGGCAGGCUCUGUACCUAUAGUGUUGAGAUUUCUGAUUAACAAACUCAUACUUUGCAGGUCAACCACCAACUGCCCCAGACAGGCAAACCAGCCAAGCCUUGGGAGCCAACAAAGAAUAGCAGAAUUUGUUCAGAACAUUUCCUUGGUGGAGCACCUUCAACGAAGUACCCAGAUCCAUGCUUGAAUCUAGGUUAUCAUAAUAUUCGCAGUCUAAGCAGCUCUAAGAAGCGAAAAGCACCCACAGUCAGAACAACUCCAACCCCAGCACCUCAAAGCAAGCGGCUGCAUUCUGAAGACCUUGAAUCGACACUCUGGAAAAUCCAGCAAGAGCCAGAGAACUUGUUUUUCAUGGAUCACAACUACACGCAGCCAGAGACUAAACCUGCGUCUGGGUCUGAACGUGAUCCUGAGUGCACGCCCAAGUGUGAAUCAGUGCGUGAGCCUAAACAUGGGGUUGAGUCUGCCAUGGACAAUGCAUGUCAAGCAUGUGCCAUGAAACAAAUUGAAAUUGAUCAACUAGCUGCUAAGGUUAAAGUCUUGACAAUUAAGUCUAAGCAAAAAUACGACAGAUGUGAUAGUUUGAUAAACACGGAUUCUAAAGUACGGCGACACACUGGGCUGGAAACUUGUGAUGUGUUCAAUACAAUGUUGGAAUUUUUGACACCCAAAGCUAGUCGUAUGGGUUAUUGGGAGGGCCCGCAAAGAGUUCUUGCAAGUAAGAUUAGGAGAUACAAGAAAACCCCAACAAAAUCAGGACCAAAAAGGAAAUUGUCUGUUAAAGAAGAGUUUCUCAUGGUGCUUAUGAAGUUGAGGGUGGGUCUAAAAAAUAAGUUGCUAGCUGCCAUUUUUAACACAACAGAUUCCACUUGUUCUCGAGUGAUACACACAUGGGUUAGGUUCCUGGCACGAGUUGAAGAAUCUCGUAUUCUGGCCUGAAAAAGAACACAUCAAACAGAUGAUGCCAGCAGCCCUUGCACAUGCAUACCCCAACCUGCGAUGCAUAAUAGACUGCAGCGAAACCUUCCUCGAGAGACCAUGUGACCUUAAACUCCAGUCUGCAACUUGGUCUGAUUACAAGCACAGUAACACUUUGAAAUACCUAGUAGCCAUAGCCCCUACUGGGCAUAUUUCAUUCAUUUCACGGGCAUGGGGAGGGAGAACUACAGAUAGAUUCAUAGUUCAAAAUUCUAAAUUUCUGGACCUGAUUGAACCGUAUGAUGUGGUCAUGGCUGAUUGUGGUUUUCCUUUAUAGUAAGACUUGCUAUUCAGGAGGGCUUCUCUUGUAAUACCACCAUCCAGUUCUGGAAAAGAUCAGAUGUGCAAAACAAAUGUGGCAAAAAACAAAAAAAAAUAGCCAACACACGCAUACAUGUUGAACGGGCCAUCAAUCGAUUAAAGUGGUUUAAAAUCAUCAGCAGAAAACUCCAUCACUAUGGCAUAUCUGUUUGAUGACAUACUGCUCAUCUGUGCAGCUCUGUGUAACCUUCUCCCUCCUUUAGUUGUCUGAAUGAAAACUCUUAUUUCACAAUGUGUUAAGCUAAUUAAUAUUUUUUUAAAUUUUUUGUUCCAUAGUCCAGGCUGUACUGUCCUCUGAAAAGCCAUACAAUGAUUAUUUAAAAGGGGACUAUUACAUUAGGCCACACUCUUUCAUUUUCUACCUCACAGGCCAAUUUGUAACUGCA
This is a long non-coding RNA of Thalassophryne amazonica, 3455 nucleotides long. RefSeq lists it as uncharacterized. The record is from RefSeq and is a predicted model, not a curated record. The transcript is spliced from 3 exons. NCBI's taxonomy places the organism in Eukaryota, Metazoa, Chordata, Actinopteri, Batrachoidiformes, Batrachoididae.